This 156-nucleotide unclassified non-coding RNA is filed under the name uncultured Dermateaceae. RNAcentral describes it as "sequence contains ITS1". The record is from RNAcentral. Lineage: Eukaryota; Fungi; Ascomycota; Leotiomycetes; Helotiales; Dermateaceae.
CAGAGUUCGUGCCCUCACGGGUAGAUCUCCCACCCUGUGUUAUUAUACCUUUGUUGCUUUGGCGGGCCGCCCUCGGCUACCGGCCCCGGCUGGUACGCGCCCGCCAGAGGACCAAACUCUGAAAUUUAGUGAUGUCUGAGAACUAUUAAAUAGUAA